Molecule: ribosomal RNA, 253 nt
Filed under: uncultured bacterium
Lineage: Bacteria
Description: partial 16S ribosomal RNA
Rfam family: Bacterial small subunit ribosomal RNA
Source: RNAcentral
UACGGAGGGGGCUAGCGUUAUUCGGAAUUACUGGGCGUAAAGCGCACGUAGGCGGAUUGGAUAGUUGGAGGUGAAAUCCCAGGGCUCAACCUUGGAACUGCCUUCAAAACUUCCAGUCUUGAGUUCGAGAGAGGUAAGUGGAAUUCCGAGUGUAGAGGUGAAAUUCGUAGAUAUUCGGAGGAACACCAGUGGCGAAGGCGGCUCACUGGUCCAUUACUGACGCUGAGGUGCGAAAGCGUGGGGAGCAAACAGG